RNAcentral lists this ribosomal RNA (253 nucleotides) under uncultured bacterium. RNAcentral describes it as "partial 16S ribosomal RNA". It matches the Rfam family "Bacterial small subunit ribosomal RNA", at positions 524 to 776 of the family's 1533-position model. The record is from RNAcentral.
UACAGAGGGUGCGAGCGUUAAUCGGAAUUACUGGGCGUAAAGCGCGCGUAGGCGGCUUUGCAAGUCGGGUGUGAAAUCCCCAGGCUCAACCUGGGAACUGCAUUCGAGACUGCAUUGCUAGAGUAUGGGAGAGGGAAGUGGAAUUUCCGGUGUAGCGGUGAAAUGCGUAGAUAUCGGAAGGAACAUCAGUGGCGAAAGCGGAUCUCUGGGCCAUUACUGACGCUGAGGAGCGAAAGCGUGGGGAGCGAACAGG